AACGAACGCUGGCGGCAGGCUUAACACAUGCAAGUCGAACGGUUGUAGCAAUACAGCAGUGGCAGACGGGUGAGUAACACGUGGGAACCUUCCUAGAGGUACGGAACAACGCAGGGAAACUUGCGCUAAUAACGUAUACGCUCUUGCGAGGAAAGGUUUAUCGCCUUUAGACGGGCCCGCGUCGGAUUAGCUGGUUGGUGAGGUAACGGCUCACCAAGGCGACGAUCCGUAGCUGAUCUGAGAGGAUGAUCAGCCACACUGGGACUGAGAAACGGCCCAGACUCCUACGGGAGGCAGCAGUGGGGAAUCUUGGACAAUGGGCGCAAGCUUGAUCCAGCCAUGCCGCGUGAGUGAAGAAGGCCUUCGGGUUGUAAAGCUCUUUUGUCAGGGACGAUAAUGACGGUACCUGAAGAAUAAGCCCCGGCAAACUUCGUGCCAGCCGCCGCUGUAA
Molecule: ribosomal RNA, 451 nt
Filed under: uncultured bacterium
Lineage: Bacteria
Description: partial 16S ribosomal RNA
Rfam family: Bacterial small subunit ribosomal RNA
Source: RNAcentral